This 781-nucleotide ribosomal RNA is filed under the name uncultured bacterium. RNAcentral's name for it is "bacterial SSU rRNA". It matches the Rfam family "Bacterial small subunit ribosomal RNA", at positions 8 to 784 of the family's 1533-position model. The record is from RNAcentral.
AGAGUUUGAUCCUGGCUCAGAUUGAACGCUGGCGGCAGGCCUAACACAUGCAAGUCGAGCGGUAGAGAGAAGCUUGCUUCUCUUGAGAGCGGCGGACGGGUGAGUAAUGCCUAGGAAUCUGCCUGGUAGUGGGGGAUAACGUUCGGAAACGGACGCUAAUACCGCAUACGUCCUACGGGAGAAAGCAGGGGACCUUCGGGCCUUGCGCUAUCAGAUGAGCCUAGGUCGGAUUAGCUAGUUGGUGGGGUAAUGGCUCACCAAGGCGACGAUCCGUAACUGGUCUGAGAGGAUGAUCAGUCACACUGGAACUGAGACACGGUCCAGACUCCUACGGGAGGCAGCAGUGGGGAAUAUUGGACAAUGGGCGAAAGCCUGAUCCAGCCAUGCCGCGUGUGUGAAGAAGGUCUUCGGAUUGUAAAGCACUUUAAGUUGGGAGGAAGGGCAGUUACCUAAUACGUAAUUGUUUUGACGUUACCGACAGAAUAAGCACCGGCUAACUCUGUGCCAGCAGCCGCGGUAAUACAGAGGGUGCAAGCGUUAAUCGGAAUUACUGGGCGUAAAGCGCGCGUAGGUGGUUUGUUAAGUUGGAUGUGAAAUCCCCGGGCUCAACCUGGGAGCUGCAUUCAAAACUGACUGACUAGAGUAUGGUAGAGGGUGGUGGAAUUUCCUGUGUAGCGGUGAAAUGCGUAGAUAUAGGAAGGAACACCUGUGGCGAAGGCGACCACCUGGACUAAUACUGACACUGAGGUGCGAAAGCGUGGGGAGCAAACAGGAUUAGAUA